GCUUUAAAUUCUUUCUCUCAAUAACGUUUGGUUUUAUUGUUCUAUUCUAUUUGAUUGUAUUUUAUUCUAUUUUCUUUUAUUCAAUCUUGUCUUUCAUGUUCUAUUCUAUUUAGAUACUUUUAGUUUUGUUUUGAUGUACUUCAUCUUAUGUUAUAUCAAGAUCUUUAUUAUUAUGGAUUUAGUAAGAUUUUAGACUUUAGAGAGGUGCAACAUCAAGUUCAAAGCUAUGGAGCUUAAGGUAGAUUUGGUGAUUGGGAGGGAUUUAAGACUGAACUUAAGAAUCAAUUUGAGAGUAUCAAUGCAAGAAAAUUAUGAUGCAAAUAAUUGACUAAACUUAUAUAAUUUAGGUUGGUGUAAGACUAUGUCUUUUGAUUUAAGUCUUUAUGUCUCUAAAUUGACAAUGUUUCAGAGAUAAAGAUGAUGGAUCAAUUUAUACAAGGAUUGAAAUCUGUGGUCCAACAAGACAUAGAAUUAAAGAAUCCACAAACAUUUGAGGAGGCAAUUAGAAUUGUAGAGAGGAUCAAUACUAUAGAUUUUAGAAAUCAUGGAGUACAACUUAUGAUAUGGAAUCAAUACCACUAGCUAAUAUUAUGGCGCAACAACCAAAAUCAAUAGAAAUUGAUAAUUUUCAAGGACUUUUAAUUCUACAAAGACUACAAGUGUUGGUGCAAAAGAAUUUGUACUUUCAUUGUUGGGAGCCAGACCAUCAAAUCAGAGACUGUUUAAAAUAUCAAAGUUCAAGCAGCAAGAAAUAAUAUCAAGUUUACAAUUUCAAGAAGUACUAAGUUGAUGAAGAAGUGGAGUAGGAAAACAAGGCUCUCUAAUAAAGGCACCAAGGGCUAAUGCUAGAGAUAGUUGUUAUUUCUCAAAGACAAGCAGUAUGGCUUGGGACAAUUAUCAAAAAUAUUGACUAGUAUAUCUAAUGGUUUAACUAAGAAGACAACCAUGUUGAGUACUUAAAGAUUGUAGCUCUAUAAAAAAAUUAUAUUUUAAUGGAAAUUACCAAAAAAUUUGAGAUUAAAACAAAAGUGAUUAAAAAAAGGAAUAUAUCCUUAGCAGAUGACCAAGAAAAAUUAUUGAGCAAGAUAAGUGAAAAAAAAAAUCCUAAAGUUAAGUAACAUCUAUGCUUUGAAGGAGAAAUUCAGAGUAACAAAGCUUUCAUAUGAUGUUAUUCUUAGUAUGCUAUAG
RNAcentral lists this long non-coding RNA (1188 nucleotides) under Physcomitrium patens. RNAcentral describes it as "long non-coding RNA (PPAT_LNC005452)". The record is from RNAcentral. Lineage: Eukaryota; Viridiplantae; Streptophyta; Bryopsida; Funariales; Funariaceae.